This 433-nucleotide ribosomal RNA is filed under the name uncultured bacterium. RNAcentral's name for it is "partial 16S ribosomal RNA". It matches the Rfam family "Bacterial small subunit ribosomal RNA", at positions 29 to 507 of the family's 1533-position model. The record is from RNAcentral.
AACGAACGCUGGCGGCGUGCCUAACACAUGUAAGUCGAACGAGACCUUCGGGUCUAGUGGCGCACGGGUGCGUAACGCGUGGGAACCUGCCCUUAGGUUCGGAAUAACUCCCCGAAAGGGGUGCUAAUACCGGAUAAUGUCUUCGGACCAAAGAUUUAUCGCCUUUGGAUGGGCCCGCGUUGGAUUAGCUAGUUGGUAGGGUAAAAGCCUACCAAGGCGACGAUCCAUAGCUGGUCUGAGAGGAUGAUCAGCCACACUGGGACUGAGACACGGCCCAGACUCCUACGGGACGCAGCAGUGGGGAAUAUUGGACGAUGGGCGAAAGCCUGAUCCAGCAAUGCCGCGUGAGUGAUGAAGGCCUUAGGGUUGUAAAGCUCUUUUACCCGGGAUGAUAAUGACAGUACCGGGAGAAUAAGCUCCGGCUAACUCCGUG